Molecule: long non-coding RNA, 4287 nt
Organism: Cygnus olor (mute swan)
Lineage: Eukaryota; Metazoa; Chordata; Aves; Anseriformes; Anatidae
Exons: 8
Source: RefSeq, a predicted model, not a curated record
GCAGCCGAGGGCGGGAGGGCGCGGCGAGAGGGGGGGCCCGGGGUCGGGGGGGCCCGGGCGCCCGGGCGGGGGUCGAGGUGCUGCGGUAUCGGCGCGCGUGGCGGCCACGUAUGUAGGAGCGGCCGCGUGCGGUUCCUGUAUCUGCACCAGGAUGGCCGAGUGGUUAAGGCGUUGGACUUAAGAUCCAAUGGACGUAUGUCCGCGUGGGUUCGAACCCCACUCCUGGGUAGUGCCAUCGUAUUCCAGCCUAUCGACAGUGCGAGAUGUACAAAUUAAGCCUAGACUGCCACACUGUAAAAUAUUAGUGUUUGUCAGAGUGCCCUCCUCAAAUUAAUACAGGAGGAGCUUUUGUCUGAAAACCACGGAAAAUUUGUGCACUAGUGGAGAUGGCCUUACAUGCGCAAUUAUAAAAAUAUCAGCUGGUCUAGCAGCUAGCUGCAGUGGAAAGAGGCCAAGAUGCUGUCUCUCCAAUGCCCUGGCAGUGCUGUGCCUUCACACUGUUUCCUUUGGUCUUCCACUGCCAGGAGAUAGCUAGCUUGAUAGCCAUGGCUUCCAUAACAUGUAUUUUGACAGCACUGUGACAGUGCAGGAUAUAUCUAUGGCAGUUAACAAAUCCUAUAGUAUUCUGCAACUGCAAACGAACUGAGACAUGCCCAACCUGUUGUACUGCAUUCAUUCCAGUGACCUGCCCCAAAACAUACUUGACACAUCGGUGAAGAAGAGAUACUGAAAACAACUGAAUUCAGUUCUUGUGAUGUCUCUGCCUGUCCACCUCCCCACCCCCACCCUUGAAGAAAAUAUUUUUCUACAGAAAGGAAUGAUUGGGUAGAAUAAGAAGUUUGUGGUAUGAAUGCACGAGCCAGAAUUCUUUAAGAAGAAAAAGCAGUUCAUGCCUUCCAAAAUAUAAUACAGAGAAACACCGUGCAUGAGAUGAAGCUGUUGCUCUGUAUGAAAUUAAUAGGGAGAGAGCUCAGCCAUUGACACACGAAUAAGGAUCUGCAUGACAAAGAAGGUACGGUAUCCGGCUGAAAUACUAGCAAACUCAAGAGUGUUGGGAAAUAUGAGAGAAGAAUGGGGUGGAAUUGAGCAUCUCAGACUUGUAAUCAACUUUUGCUUCUAGAGCAUUUUCUUGUGGUUAGAAAAUCUUCUCCCAUGCCAGUUUCAGUUAUUUUUCUUGGUAAGUUGUCUCAAUGAGGGAUUUAAGCAGAGUUACGAGCACUCCUCUUUUAGGUUGGGCUCUGCAUAGAAUGUUUAAGAGAUCUUAAGGUUCAUGGGGGUAAGCCAAAAGGAUCACCCAAAAGGAUCCUGUAUGUGUCCUGUUGAGCCAGAGUUAGAGCCGAUGCCUCGCGUUCAUCUGGAAGUCCAUAACAAACUUGUCUUCGUAACCACAAAUGAGCCUGGAUUAUAAUGUUAACUAUCUCAGAAUGUUGUUUUAUUUUUUUAACCAGAAAUAUUAUACCAAGAUCUUAACCGUCAGACUGGGAUGUGUGUAUUUUGCAAUGUACAUUGUUUCCUUUUAUGUACUGUUUGUCAUCAGCAGUGUUGGCAUUACUGGUUCCCAGGUAGAAAGUAUAUUUUGGUAUGAUUAAAGCAUUCAACUUACAAAAUACACAUAUGGUAUUUCUGGAGGGAGACACUGGGAACUGACCAAGGAGUUACUGACUGCUGUUCAUCUGUAAACCGGUACUUCUGGCAGCGACUUUGAGAGUCAGCAUCCCUGAGCACCACUGUGUUAACAUUUACAGUUACCUGCUCUGGUCAAUAUACAUAGUUCUUUAUUUUGCCAAUUGUAAAAAUUGAGUUAUAAAAAAUGAUUUUUUCAGCUUAUUUUUCUAGCCAUUAUAUAUGUUCAGCUAAAAAAAGAGUAGCUUGAGAAAGCAAUUCAAAGACUUUUAAUUCAUCUGUGUGAAUAUCUGUGUUAAAAAAUAACUCAGUUAACUCUUAACAAGAUAGCUGGCUUCUCAGGGAAAGAUACUCACAUGGAAGGCACUUCUGAGGAUACACCUAAUUAGCUGUGCUGCUGCAGCCCAUGUUUAUGGAUAUAAAUUCAUGGCUCCUGAUCCUGUGACAGACUGUAUUCAGUUUAUAGGUGCAGAGAGAACUUGCGGAAGCAGUGAAGCGGCUUACAGUCGGCAGCGCUGCCCCCUUCACGUACACAGCCAUUUCUGACACAGAAACGAGAACGGAGCUGAGCAGGGGCCAGCAGGCUGGGUGAUGUGACUCCUCGCUUUAGGAGCUACGUCGGCAACUGGGUGGAUGGAGGCAGUGGCCCUUCCCUUGUUUGCAGGAAAACUUGCUCCGUCCUGGGCAGCCCAGCUGUUUGACAGCUCCAGUGUGUGAAGACAGGAACAGUUUGAGGUCACCUCCACUGGUUUUGUUGCUUGGAUCCGUUUAGCCGUCUGCUUUGGGCUCUCCUCUCUCUUGUACUUGUUCCAUGGUGCGGUUUUAUGCUUGAGUGGGUUUAACAGUGGCCAAAGGGGUAAUGCUUUUUCCUUCUUUGCUUUUUCCUUCUUUGCCCUUGACAUCGCUCUUCCACUGCUGCUCUUUGUGCUGAAGCACUUUGCUUCUUUGGAGUCAGCCAAACAGCAGUGCUGGAGAAACAGACCCCGUGGGGACACGCACGUGAGAAAGGGAAGUGUCUGUUAGCUGGCAGCUGCCCUUUGGCUCAGCCAUACCAUAGAACUACUGCCUUUAUAGGCACCUGCCUGGCCUUGCAAGUUAUCUACUCUUUUGCUCUACAAAUCCAAAGUAAUUGAGCUGUUGAGGAACAAUGCGGAUCACAAAGGCCGUAAAAGACAAAUAUCAUCUGAAGAUAAAGCACGCACAGUCAAGAGAAUCGGGGCUGUGAAGUUUGCAGCGAAGAUUAAAUGAUUCAGAAAGCAGCCCCUUUGAGGAUGCAUUGCAACAUACGGUCUUUGAAGAAACCGUUCCCCUGGAGCCCCCUGGCUAGACCUCCCCACACUAAACCUGAGAGUCUUCCUGUACAUAAAGGGCUCUGACGGCAGUCUAGGCCUCUGAAAAGCCUCUUCGUGCCAGUGCUGGAACUACAGACGGCUGCAGGAACACCACCACCCGCUGGUUUGGCUUCCUGGUGGCAGAGCUGGUGACUGGCCCUGCUGAAGACCCUGUACCCCACAGCUGAGGGGAACCAGCAAAGCUACUAGGGCGUGUGACAAAUACAGAGCCUUACAAAGCGUUUGGUGCUCUCUCCCCGGUCACUUUCUGCCUGUGCUGGUGCAGGGAGGUGGAUGGUUUCCAGCCGAAACAGCUGAUGGAAAAUUCCCACUACAGAAGAAAAAGUAGAGGCUUAUUCUUCUGUAACAGUGGGCUGGAGUCAAACCUCGUAAAGCUGGGGCACGGGGUGGUGCCCCCACUGCGCCUGUGCCCCGUGAGAGACACAGGGGUGCUUCUGCUGCUGUCAGGCUGCCGGGUGGUGAGUCGGGGAUCCUCACUGCUCCCCUGGGUGUGCCUUUCUCACUGCUCCAAGUGAAGAUCAGAAGAAAAUCAGAGCUCAGCACUGAAAGCAAGCUGAGCAUGGAGUGUUUGGAGGGGAGGCCCCAUAAGGAGAAUGCAGAGUGACUGAAUCACUUCACCACCCACUGAAAUACUCUACAAAUAAAGUUGUGUUGUUUAAUUAUAGAUCGCAUGCUGGAAUGAUGUAAUCCUGAAUGUAUAUAGGGGAGAGCACUCCAAAUCAUUACCUUAGGUAUUAGUGACAGCUUUGGCUGAAUUUGAAAGUGUAUCCUCAAGGUGAAAAGCAGUCCUUGGAUUUACAGGAUUUCUGAAUCCUCUCUAGGACUUGUAGGCUUCCUCAGUCAUUGUUGAAAAGGUUUUGUUUUCCUUCAUUUUUCACAUUCUAAUUUGGUAACGUUUCUUUCCCGUUGCUAGUGCUACCAGGCUUCUGUUUGUUGGUCGCUGUUCCUAAAAACAAAUCCGGGCUUAGACUUCCGUGGGAAAAAGAUGUGGAGUAGGGAGAAGGAGGAAGGCCCUUUGGAAGAUUUGCGGCGUUUGAUGAUGUUACAAAUGAGGCCAACAGCUGUUUUAAAAAGAGCUAUUCAACUGGUUUAUUUAUGUCAAAAAUGGGGGAGGCCAAUGAAACUCGUGCCCGCUUUGUUCUAAGGCUCAGGAUGUUCUGCUGGUCGUAUUUAUCCGCCUGCUGUGUGCUUUAUCUUUGGCUGGUGUCAGUGGAGGUUUUUGUAAUAGCCUGUUUAUUUCACUCUAUUGCUCUGAGAUGUCAGUGCAGCUUUGCGCUUUGGAUAUUUAUAAAUAAAUCAUUACUUUCACAAA